Molecule: ribosomal RNA, 458 nt
Filed under: uncultured bacterium
Lineage: Bacteria
Description: bacterial SSU rRNA
Rfam family: Bacterial small subunit ribosomal RNA
Source: RNAcentral
GAGUUUGAUCCUGGCUCAGAACGAACGCUGGCGGCAGGCUUAACACAUGCAAGUCGAGCGCCCCGCAAGGGGAGCGGCAGACGGGUGAGUAACGCGUGGGGAACAUACCCUUUGGUUCGGAAUAACUCAGGGAAACUUGAGCUAAUACCGGAUACGUCCGUAAGGAGAAAGAUUUAUCGCCAAAGGAUUGGCCCGCGUCCGAUUAGCUAGUUGGUGAGGUAACGGCUCACCAAGGCUACGAUCGGUAGCUGGUCUGAGAGGAUGAUCAGCCACAUUGGGACUGAGACACGGCCCAAACUCCUACGGGAGGCAGCAGUGGGGAAUAUUGGACAAUGGGCGCAAGCCUGAUCCAGCCAUGCCGCGUGAGUGAUGAAGGCCUUAGGGUUGUAAAGCUCUUUUGUCCGGGAAGAUAAUGACUGUACCGGAAGAAUAAGCCCCGGCUAACUUCGUGCCAGCCG